Molecule: ribosomal RNA, 606 nt
Filed under: uncultured bacterium
Lineage: Bacteria
Description: bacterial SSU rRNA
Rfam family: Bacterial small subunit ribosomal RNA
Source: RNAcentral
GACGAACGCUGGCGGCGUGCCUAAUACAUGCAAGUAGAACGCUGAAGAAAGGAGCUUGCUUCUUUUGGAUGAGUUGCGAACGGGUGAGUAACGCGUAGGUAACCUGCCUUGUAGCGGGGGAUAACUAUUGGAAACGAUAGCUAAUACCGCAUAACAGCUUUUGACACAUGUUAGAAGCUUGAAAGAUGCAAUUGCAUCACUACGAGAUGGACCUGCGUUGUAUUAGCUAGUAGGUAGGGUAACGGCCUACCUAGGCGACGAUACAUAGCCGACCUGAGAGGGUGAUCGGCCACACUGGGACUGAGACACGGCCCAGACUCCUACGGGAGGCAGCAGUAGGGAAUCUUCGGCAAUGGGGGCAACCCUGACCGAGCAACGCCGCGUGAGUGAAGAAGGUUUUCGGAUCGUAAAGCUCUGUUGUAAGAGAAGAACGUGUGUGAGAGUGGAAAGUUCACACAGUGACGGUAACUUACCAGAAAGGGACGGCUAACUACGUGCCAGCAGCCGCGGUAAUACGUAGGUCCGAGCGUUGUCCGGAUUUAUUGGGCGUAAAGCGAGCGCAGGCGGUUUAAUAAGUCUGAAGUUAAAGGCAGUGGCUUAACCAUU